This 207-nucleotide ribosomal RNA is filed under the name uncultured bacterium. Its description in RNAcentral is "partial 16S ribosomal RNA". It matches the Rfam family "Bacterial small subunit ribosomal RNA", at positions 568 to 774 of the family's 1533-position model. The record is from RNAcentral.
AGCGUAGGCGGACUUUUAAGUGAGAUGUGAAAUACCCGGGCUCAACCUGGGUGCUGCAUUUCAAACUGAAAGUCUAGAGUGCAGGAGAGGAGAGUGGAAUUCCUAGUGUAGCGGUGAAAUGCGUAGAGAUUAGGAAGAACACCAGUGGCGAAGGCGACUCUCUGGACUGUAACUGACGCUGAGGCUCGAAAGCGUGGGGAGCAAACA